GCCGGGCACGGUGGCUCAUGCCUGUAAUCCCAGCACUUUGGGAGGCUGAGGCGGGUGGAUCACCUGAGGUCAGGAGUUCAAGGAUAGCCUGGCCAAUAUGGUGAAACCCUGUCUCUA
Molecule: non-coding RNA, 117 nt
Filed under: Pan troglodytes (chimpanzee)
Lineage: Eukaryota; Metazoa; Chordata; Mammalia; Primates; Hominidae
Source: Rfam by way of RNAcentral